GCGGGCGUGGUGAAAUUGGUAAACACAUCAGACUUAAAAUCUGACGGCGGAAACGCCCUGCCGGUUCAAGUCCGGCCGCCCGCA
This 84-nucleotide transfer RNA is filed under the name Magnetospira sp. QH-2. It matches the Rfam family "tRNA". Rfam says of the family: Transfer RNA (tRNA) molecules are approximately 80 nucleotides in length. Their secondary structure includes four short double-helical elements and three loops (D, anti-codon, and T loops). The record is from Rfam by way of RNAcentral. Lineage: Bacteria; Pseudomonadati; Pseudomonadota; Alphaproteobacteria; Rhodospirillales; Thalassospiraceae.